GGGUUGUGAGGUUAAGCGACUAAGCGUACACGGUGGAUGCCCUGGCAGUCAGAGGCGAUGAAGGACGUGCUAAUCUGCGAAAAGCGUCGGUAAGGUGAUAUGAACCGUUACAGCCGGCGAUGUCCGAAUGGGGAAACCCAGUGCAAUUCGUUGCACUAUCGUUAACUGAAUACAUAGGUUAACGAGGCGAACCGGGGGAACUGAAACAUCUAAGUACCCCGAGGAAAAGAAAUCAACCGAGAUUCCCCCAGUAGCGGCGAGCGAACGGGGAGCAGCCCAGAGUCUGAAUCAGCUUGUGUGUUAGUGGAACGGUCUGGAAAGUCCGACGGUACAGGGUGAUAGUCCCGUACACCAAAAUGCACAGGCUGUGAACUCGAAGAGUAGGGCGGGACACGUGGUAUCCUGUCUGAAUAUGGGGGGACCAUCCUCCAAGGCUAAAUACUCCUGACUGACCGAUAGUGAACCAGUACCGUGAGGGAAAGGCGAAAAGAACCCCGGCGAGGGGAGUGAAAAAGAACCUGAAACCGUGUACGUACAAGCAGUGGGAGCACCUUCGGGUGUGACUGCGUACCUUUUGUAUAAUGGGUCAGCGACUUAUAUUCUGUAGCAAGGUUAACCGUAUAGGGGAGCCGCAGGGAAACCGAGUCUUAACUGGGCGUUAAGUUGCAGGGUAUAGACCCGAAACCCGGUGAUCUAGCCAUGGGCAGGUUGAAGGUUGGGUAACACUAACUGGAGGACCGAACCGACUAAUGUUGAAAAAUUAGCGGAUGACUUGUGGCUGGGGGUGAAAGGCCAAUCAAACCGGGAGAUAGCUGGUUCUCCCCGAAAGCUAUUUAGGUAGCGCCUCGUGAAUUCAUCUUCGGGGGUAGAGCACUGUUUCGGCUAGGGGGUCAUCCCGACUUACCAACCCGAUGCAAACUACGAAUACCGAAGAAUGUUAUCACGGGAGACACACGGCGGGUGCUAACGUCCGUCGUGAAGAGGGAAACAACCCAGACCGCCAGCUAAGGUCCCAAAGUCAUGGUUAAGUGGGAAACGAUGUGGGAAGGCACAGACAGCCAGGAUGUUGGCUUAGAAGCAGCCAUCAUUUAAAGAAAGCGUAAUAGCUCACUGGUCGAGUCGGCCUGCGCGGAAGAUGUAACGGGGCUAAACCAUGCACCGAAGCUGCGGCAGCGACACUAUGUGUUGUUGGGUAGGGGAGCGUUCUGUAAGCCUGCGAAGGUGUGCUGUGAGGCAUGCUGGAGGUAUCAGAAGUGCGAAUGCUGACAUAAGUAACGAUAAAGCGGGUGAAAAGCCCGCUCGCCGGAAGACCAAGGGUUCCUGUCCAACGUUAAUCGGGGCAGGGUGAGUCGACCCCUAAGGCGAGGCCGAAAGGCGUAGUCGAUGGGAAACAGGUUAAUAUUCCUGUACUUGGUGUUACUGCGAAGGGGGGACGGAGAAGGCUAUGUUAGCCGGGCGACGGUUGUCCCGGUUUAAGCAUGUAGGCUGGUUAUCCAGGCAAAUCCGGAUAAUCAAGGCUGAGGUGUGAUGACGAGGCACUACGGUGCUGAAGUAACAAAUGCCCUGCUUCCAGGAAAAGCCUCUAAGCAUCAGGUAACAUCAAAUCGUACCCCAAACCGACACAGGUGGUCAGGUAGAGAAUACCAAGGCGCUUGAGAGAACUCGGGUGAAGGAACUAGGCAAAAUGGUGCCGUAACUUCGGGAGAAGGCACGCUGGUGUGUAGGUGAAGUCCCUGCGGAUGGAGCUGAGACCAGUCGAAGAUACCAGCUGGCUGCAACUGUUUAUUAAAAACACAGCACUGUGCAAACACGAAAGUGGACGUAUACGGUGUGACGCCUGCCCGGUGCCGGAAGGUUAAUUGAUGGGGUUAUCCGUAAGGAGAAGCUCUUGAUCGAAGCCCCGGUAAACGGCGGCCGUAACUAUAACGGUCCUAAGGUAGCGAAAUUCCUUGUCGGGUAAGUUCCGACCUGCACGAAUGGCGUAAUGAUGGCCAGGCUGUCUCCACCCGAGACUCAGUGAAAUUGAACUCGCUGUGAAGAUGCAGUGUACCCGCGGCAAGACGGAAAGACCCCGUGAACCUUUACUAUAGCUUGACACUGAACAUUGAGCCUUGAUGUGUAGGAUAGGUGGGAGGCUUUGAAGCGUGGACGCCAGUCUGCGUGGAGCCAACCUUGAAAUACCACCCUUUAAUGUUUGAUGUUCUAACGUUGGCCCCUUACCGGGGUUGCGGACAGUGUCUGGUGGGUAGUUUGACUGGGGCGGUCUCCUCCCAAAGCGUAACGGAGGAGCACGAAGGUUAGCUAAUCCUGGUCGGACAUCAGGAGGUUAGUGCAAUGGCAUAAGCUAGCUUGACUGCGAGCGUGACGGCGCGAGCAGGUGCGAAAGCAGGUCAUAGUGAUCCGGUGGUUCUGAAUGGAAGGGCCAUCGCUCAACGGAUAAAAGGUACUCCGGGGAUAACAGGCUGAUACCGCCCAAGAGUUCAUAUCGACGGCGGUGUUUGGCACCUCGAUGUCGGCUCAUCACAUCCUGGGGCUGAAGUAGGUCCCAAGGGUAUGGCUGUUCGCCAUUUAAAGUGGUACGCGAGCUGGGUUUAGAACGUCGUGAGACAGUUCGGUCCCUAUCUGCCGUGGGCGCUGGAGAAUUGAGGGGGGCUGCUCCUAGUACGAGAGGACCGGAGUGGACGCAUCACUGGUGUUCGGGUUGUCAUGCCAAUGGCACUGCCCGGUAGCUAAAUGCGGAAGAGAUAAGUGCUGAAAGCAUCUAAGCACGAAACUUGCCCCGAGAUGAGUUCUCCCUGAGACUUUAAGUCUCCUGAAGGAACGUUGAAGACGACGACGUUGAUAGGCCGGGUGUGUAAGCGCAGCGAUGCGUUGAGCUAACCGGUACUAAUGAACCGUGAGGCUUAACCUUACAACGCCGAAG
Molecule: ribosomal RNA, 2923 nt
Filed under: Klebsiella pneumoniae
Lineage: Bacteria; Pseudomonadati; Pseudomonadota; Gammaproteobacteria; Enterobacterales; Enterobacteriaceae
Description: bacterial LSU rRNA
Rfam family: Bacterial large subunit ribosomal RNA
Source: RNAcentral